ACAACAGUUUACUGAACAAAUUACUCUUUAAAUGAAUUCAAUUAUAAUGAAAAGUUUUCUAAGGAAUAAAAAUGUAUCUCAGCUUCCGCUCGGAACUGUAGGGAGCCCUUUUACAUUACUUUAGGUUACAAUUAACAACAGGGCCCACACUUAAAAUUCAAUUACCAUUUAUUUUUAUAUAAUAAUCAACAUUCAACUUAAAAAAAGAGAAAGAAAUGUAUGUAAACCUGUAAAUUGCACAUAAUGCACACAGUUUCACCCAAAGAUAAACGGCAGUGCUUUACAACCAUAGGACAGGAAGAGCUAAAUAAACUUAUCACUGUAUCUAAACCAACAACAUGUUUAUUAGAUCCUGUACCCACUAAAUUACUGAAAGAGCUGUUACCUGUAGCCGAAGAACCGCUUCUCAAUAUCAUUAACUCGUCGUUAUCUUUAGGACACGUCCCAAAACCAUUCAAGCUGGCGGUUAUCAAGCCUCUUAUUAAGAAACCAAAACUAGAUCCUAGUUGUACCAUUUCCAAAUUAUAGGUCUAUUUCAAACCUUCCAUUUAUGUCGAAAAUUUUAGAAAAAGUUGUGUCUGCUCAAUUGAGCACCUUCCUGCAUAAAAAUGAUCUGUAUGAAGAAUUUCAGAAACUGCACUUGUUAAAAUUACAAAUGACCUGCUUCUUGCGUCAGAUCAAGGCUGCAUCUCAUUUCUAGUCUUACUUGAUCUUAGCGCUGCGUUCGACACAAUAGAUCAUGACAUACUCAUAGAUCGAUUACAAAACUAUACAGGUAUUCAAGGGCAGGCUUUAAGAUGGUUUAGAUCCUACCUGUCCGAUCGCUACCAUUUUGUUUACUUAAAUGGGGAGUCAUCUCAUUUAUCAUCAGUAAAAUAUGGAGUGCCACAAGGAUCCGUCCUAGGUCCCCUUCUAUUUUCAAUAUACAUGUUGCCCCUUGGUAAUAUUAUUAGAAAAUACAGAAUUAGCUUCCACUGUUAUGCUGAUGAUACUCAGCUAUAUAUCUAGGUAGUGGUUUACAAAUUAUCAUUACUUACCUAUAAGGCCCUAAAUGGUUUGGCUCCUGCGUACCUAACUAGCCUUCUACCACGCUACAACCCAUCACGCACCCAAAGGUCACAAAACGCUGGACUUUUGGUAGUUCCUAGGAUAGCAAAGUCCACUAAAGGAGGUAGAGCUUUCUCACAUUUGGCUCCCAAUUUCUGGAAUAGCCUUCCUGAUAAUGUUCCGGGUUCAGACACACUCUCUCUGUUUAAAUCUAGAUUAAAAACACAUCUCUUUCGCCAAGCAUACGAAUAAUGUAUCUCUUAAAUUGUGACUGCAGUAAAAUUUAAAAAAAUAAAUAAAUAAAUACAAAUGCACAUUCUUAUUCUUUAGCUUGGGUUAAACUAAUUAAUUUUACUUUGUUGGAUCAGCGGCUAUGCUAAUGAUGUCUCUAUUUGUUUCUAUGUAACUAGGAUUUACACAAGCUCCAGUCUGGAUCCAGAACACCUGUGAAGAGAUGAUGCUGACCCUCAGAGGACCUCAGAUGAUGCUGACCCUGAAUCAACUUCUAAAUUAAACAAUUUCUAUUUGAUGUUGGAAUAUAUUCAUUUACACAGUGUCUGUCAUAACUUGUUUAAUAACGGAUUUAUCCCUUGGUGCACUGUUUGUUGUUAGUAUGGUAGUAGAAUUAGUAGUAGUAUUAUCUUUUAAGAAUAAUUAAUAUGAUCUAUUACUAUUAUUAUUAUUUUACCCUACCCUACAUGACCAAAAAUAUCUUAAGAAUCACCAUGCUUAUACACCAUUUCUAUAAAAUGACAAAUAUGCAUUUAUACAUGGUUACCAAGUUUUAGUUCUAAUCACUAAAGUUCUAUCAUUAUCAUUAAAUAGUGCUUAAUACCAUAAUAUAAAGCUUGACUGACUGAUUUAAGAAGCUGUGCCAUUUUAAAAAGAAAAGCUAAUUGGAAUCAUGCUUGUCCACAUGGCACAUGGCAAAGAGUUUUGCUUGAUGCUUUAUCACAGGGGUGUCCAAUCCUGCUCCUGGAGUGCCAGCACCCUGCAGAUUUCAGCUCCAACACACAUGCCUGGAGGUUUCAGGAGCGUCUGAGGACCUGAUGACUGGUUCAGGUGUGUGUGAUCAGUGCUGGAGCUGAACUCUGCAGGAGGAACAGCUCUGCACACCCCUGCUUUAUCAUGUUGUCUCUAGUUAGGAGAAAGUAGGCUAAACUGAGGUGACACGGCUAUAAAUAAAGCUCACUCACUUUGGCUAGCAGGGUCCGGGCGGUCCGGCGAGCACCACUCCAGCGGAUUGAAUAUAUCAAAACUGAAUGUUUGAUUAGUAAUAUGCAUUGCUAAGAACUUCAUUUGAACAACUUUAAAGAUGAUUUUCUCAGCAUUUAGAUUUUUUUGCUCUCUCAGAUUCCAGAAAUUAUGGAGGGAGCGCUGAAUGGCAUCGCUUGGAGAUAAUUAAGUGCCAUGAAUUUAUCUAUGUACUAUAACAUGUAAAACUAAUAUUUUAUUAUUAACUAAAAAAAUUCAAGGCAUUGAUGUCUGUCUACAAAACCACCGCUGGCUCAGCACCUCUUUACCUAAAUUCAUUACUUCAGACUUGUGCCUCUAGGGAAGUUGUGGCCUAAUGGUUAGAGAGUCAAACUCGAAAUCGAAGGGUUGUGAGUUCGAGUCUCGGGCCGGCAGGAAUUGUGGGUGGGGGGAAGUGCAUGUAAGAGAAAUUGCAACGAAUCUUGGUGCAGACUGUCACCAAGGUGGCCUUCGUGUUGACGCUACUCUCUGGGAGGGCGGCACUAUGGGGGACAGCGGUGUGGGAGAACCAGGAUCCAUGCUGCGCCUCGUUUCAGGUGCUCUCUGCCGAGAUGAGAUGGGUCUUCGAUCGGGCCGUCGCAGGACGGGAGGUGGCCCGGAGGCUGGCGGAGUUACGCCAGCACGAGAGAUCAGUCUCAGACUUAUACUUAGAUUGCUAGAGAAUGGGCUUUUUGUCAAGGCGGAGAAAUGCUAGUUUCAUGCACAGUCAAUUCCAUUUUUGGGGUAUAUCGUGUCAACUGAGGGAAUACGCAUGGAUCCCGAGAAAGUUAAGGCUGUGGUAGAGUGGCCAAGUCCAGAUUCCCGUAAGGCCCUACAGAGGUUUCUGGGGUUCGCUAACUUCUACUGGCGUUUCAUUCGCAACUUCAGCCAACUAGCCGCACCUCUGACCGCCUUGACCUCCGCCAAGACUGCGUUCAGGUGGUCAGACACAGCUGAGGCUGUGUUUGCCAAACUGAAGAGCCGUUUCAUUUCAGCCCCUAUUCUGAUUACCCCUGACCCUACACGUCAGUUCGUGGUGGAGGUCGAUGCGUCAGAGGUGGGGGUAGGAGCGGUGUUAUCCCUUAGAAGACAAGGUUCAUCCUUGUGCGUAUUUUAUAUAUCAUUUAUCUCCUGCAGAACGAAAUUACGAUAUUGGUAACUGAGAAUUGUUGGCAGUUAAGAUGGCAUUGGAUAAAUGGUGACAUUGGUUAGAAGGAUCGGGGGUUCCUUUUAUAGUAUGGACUGACCACAAGAAUUUAGAGUACAUUAGCACCGCCAAAAGGUUGAACUCCAGGAAGGCUCGAUGGGCACUUUUUUUCAGACGUUUUGACUUUACUAUUUCAUACCGACCGGGUUCCCAAAAUAUCAAACCCAAAUCUUUGUCCCGUAUUUUUGACCAUUCCGAACGCCCAUCCACUCCCGAGUGUAUUUUCCCUGAGACAUUAGUGGUCUCCACUCUCACAUGGGAGAUCGAAUCGAAGGUCAGAACGGCCUUAGAAGGGGUAACGCCUCCGCCCGGGUGCCCACCGAACCGUUUAUUUGUGCCAGAGGGAUUAAAGUCUAAUGUUAUCCAGUGGGGACAUUGCUCUAAUGUAGCUUGCCAUCCAGGAGUUAACCGUACUAGAUUUUUAGUCAAGCAACGAUUCUGGUGGCCACUUAUGCCUCGCUACAUUCACAAUUUUGUUUUGGCUUGCUUGGUUUGUGCCACUGGUAAUACUUCCAAUCGGCCCCCUUAAGGGGUUACCCUUCGAGACCCUGGUCCCACAUCGCACUAGAUUUUAUUACCACCCUCCCGUCCUCCCAGGGCAACACGGUAGUUUUAACCGUGGUGGACCGGUUCUCGAAGGCAGCCCACUUUAUUCCCUUGCCCAAAUUACCCUCAGCCAAGGAGACAGCGUUGACCGUCGUAGUUUACAUCUUUCGUUUACAUGGCCUCCCGAUAGACGUGGUUUCCGACAGGGGACCCCAAUUUGUGUCAAAAUUUUGGUGAGAAUUGUGUAGAUUGCUGGGAGUGACUGUAAGUCUGUCCUCAGGGUUUCAUCCCCAGAGCAAUGGUCAAACCGAGAGAGCCAACCAAGAUUUGGAAAGGGUGUUGCGAUGUUUGGUCUCCAAGAAUCCUUCCUCCUUGAGCCAACAAUUGUCUAUGGUGGAGUACGCCCACAAUACCUUACCAGUAUCAGCUACGGGCCUAUCUCCUUUUGAGUGUAGUGUAGGUUACCAGCUACCUAUUUUUCCCAGUAUGGAAUCCGAAGUUGCAGUCCCCUCCAUUCACGCCUUCGUCCAGAGGUGUCACCGCACUUGGACCAGAGCCCGCGAGACUCUACUCCAAGUGGUGGCGCGCACCAAGGCCAAAGCCGAUCGCCACCGGUCUAGGCCUCCCGUAUACGUCGUGGGUCAAAAAGUGUGGCUUUCUACCAAGAAUAUUCCUCUCCAUUUCGUAUCUAAUAAAUUGGCUCCCAAAUUUAUUGGCCCGUUUACUGUCACCAAGAUCAUUAGUCCGGGGACGCGGAUUUCAGUACUUGGUGGACUGGGAGGGUUACGGUCCAGAGGAGAGAAGUUGGGUACCUGCUAGGGACAUCCUGGAUCAUUCCCUUAUCGAUGAUUACCAUCGACAGGUAAGAGAUUCUGGGGACGCCAGGAGGCGUCCUAGGGAGGAGGGGUACUGUCACGGUUCGGGAAUGCACCGUCUCCAGCUGUAUUCAUGUUACGUCAUGUUGAUUGUUUCAUGUGGGUGUUACUCAUUCCAACUGCCUAUUUAACAGUUCUUUCGUCUCCUGUUUGUCAGAUCGUUGUUUGAGGUCCUCCGUGUCUGAUGUCUGAUUCGUGUGUUCCUGCCUUGCUUUGUCUCCUGUUCGGUUUCUGUUGGAUCAUUACCUUCGCUCACGGAUUAUCGUCACCUCACUUUGAUUUACCACCGCCGUCAUCAUCAUCAUCAGCGCACUCAAUUCACCUACUCACCAGUCUGUGCUGCCAUCGCGGUUCCUGCGUCAUUCUCCAACCUACCAUCAUCUCAAAUAUUACAAUAAACUCUGUUAACUUGC
Carassius gibelio (silver crucian carp) is the source of this 5321-nucleotide long non-coding RNA. RefSeq lists it as uncharacterized. Lineage: Eukaryota; Metazoa; Chordata; Actinopteri; Cypriniformes; Cyprinidae. The transcript has 2 exons. The record is from RefSeq and is a predicted model, not a curated record.